RNAcentral lists this ribosomal RNA (457 nucleotides) under uncultured bacterium. Its description in RNAcentral is "bacterial SSU rRNA". It matches the Rfam family "Bacterial small subunit ribosomal RNA", at positions 28 to 496 of the family's 1533-position model. The record is from RNAcentral.
GAUGAACGCUGGCGGCGUGCUUAACACAUGCAAGUCGAACGGGAUCCAUCAGGCUUUGCUUGGUGGUGAGAGUGGCGAACGGGUGAGUAAUGCGUGACCGACCUGCCCCAUACACCGGAAUAGCUCCUGGAAACGGGUGGUAAUGCCGGAUGCUCCAGUUGAUCGCAUGGUCUUCUGGGAAAGCCUUCGCGGUAUGGGAUGGGGUCGCGUCCUAUCAGCUUGACGGCGGGGUAACGGCCCACCGUGGCUUCGACGGGUAGCCGGCCUGAGAGGGCGACCGGCCACAUUGGGACUGAGAUACGGCCCAGACUCCUACGGGAGGCAGCAGUGGGGAAUAUUGCACAAUGGGCGCAAGCCUGAUGCAGCGACGCCGCGUGAGGGAUGGAGGCCUUCGGGUUGUAAACCUCUUUUAUCGGGGAGCAAGCGAGAGUGAGUUUACCCGUUGAAUAAGCACCGG